AGAGCCCUAAAUGUUUUUUUGUUUGACAUUCAUGCUUAACAGAAAAUGAUGAAUCCAUUAGCAACUCCUUCCGUUGCCAAAAGAAACAGACUUGCACUUGUAGAUUGCUUUCAUUCUGCGCUAUCAAGCCACUGCAUGUGCUGCUUUCACAAAGCUGACAGUCAUCUAUCAUUUUUAAAUGGGUUUAGAGGGUGGAAGAGAUGU
Molecule: long non-coding RNA, 204 nt
Filed under: Homo sapiens (human)
Lineage: Eukaryota; Metazoa; Chordata; Mammalia; Primates; Hominidae
Description: non-protein coding lnc-ATP11B-5:3
Source: RNAcentral